GCCUCUCUGUGGAGGCAACGUUUAGGCUGAGACCGGAAAGUCAAGAAAAAGUCAGAUCCUGAAUUACAGGGUUGAACAGCUCCAGGAAGAGGGAGCUACAAUAAAAAGGCUCUAAGAGCGAUCACACUUGGCAUGUUUAAGGAAGAAACAGAAAGCAAGGGAGAUAUUGAAUUUAAUCAUCACUGCAUUUUUCAUGACUAUAGUUCCCAUCUGGAAAUGCAAAUUUACAAAUUAAAACAUCAAUAACAUUCUUUCCUAGGAUAACUGAGGAUCUCUCUGCCACAGACUUAAUGCUCCUGUGCAUAAAGUGAGUGUGAAGUUUGAGAAUGUUGCUCUGGUUGAACCUGGUGGUGAGUUUCAAGUCUCUGUGUAACUGAUGGAGUUUCAUAGAGAGCCCAUGGCUGCUGCUCUACCUUUUACAGCUCUAUCUUUCACAUGUCUGUUAAAUCAUUGAAGCCAGAUGCAGUGGCUCACGCCUCUCAUCCCAGCACUUUGUGAGUCUAAGGUGGGAGAAUCACAUGAGCCCAGGAAUUUGAGACCCACCUGAGCAACAAAGUGAGACCACAUCUCUAUAAAAACUACAGAAAAAUUAGUGGUCCCAACUACUUGGAAGGCUGAGCUGGGAGGAUUGCUUGACUCCCUAGAAGUCAAGCCUGCAGUGAGCCAGUAUGUAUGAUAUAUAUAUAUACACACAUAGACACACAUACAUAUAUGAUGUACAUAUAUAUACACACAUAGAUAUAUGUAGAUACAAUCUACAUAUAUAUACACAUACCUAUUAUCGCUUCCUUCCUUUCAUUUCUUCCCACUGAUUGCCUUCAAAAAUAUCUUGUAUUACACAUGGUUUCAGGUAUGAAGAUGAAUGAGAUGGAGCACACAAUGAAAUAGAUCUAAAAAUAUAUGUACAUAUAUAUGUAGAUCAUAUGUGUAUAUCUCAUUGAUCUCUAAUACUCUAAAGAAAAUUAAUUCCAUGGGUCCAUUGUCUUUGUAGUGCUCAUUAGCUUACUCUCCACUACUUAUUGUUGCUUCUAUUUGCCCUAAGCUUACUGCCCCGCUCUUUUUAAUAUCCUGGAAGUGAUGAUCUAGGGCAUUAGCUCCCUAAUACCAGUUUGUAAAUUAAGCACCCAUCUAUGGACUCGUGGAGGUCCCUGAUGAAGUUCACACCAGUCAGCAGCAAAAUGGGAAACUGAGGCCAGAGAAAUGAUUUUUCAUAAAGCUAAAUUUAUGUAACUUCAAAAUAUUUGUUCUCUCUGAAAUAAGGUCCCAUGUUUUCUGCAUUUUAAGGGUUUUUGCCACAAUGACAUAAUGUAAAUGAUAUUUCUUUUGAGAAAAAUAAACUAUUUGUUACCUUAUAUCAGAAACCCAUUUUUCCUUCUAACAGAACUCAUUGGGCCUUGAAAUCCAAGGGCCUGAGCACCAAGGAACUGGUCAAAGCCCAUGCAUGCAUGCCUACAGAGCCUUAUAUUGUGUCUCUUGUCAGGAACCCUAUGAAUAUUAACCCAUUCUUCCAUGAUCUGAGUAUUAAUGGAAUGGAAUGUGUGUGUGGGAAGGAAAUUUGAUUUCAAGGCUUCAACUCUGUUAUCUGUUCCAUUUGCAAAAAGCCAUCCCCAUUGAUAACUCUCAUUUGUGUACUUUUGAGGGUUUGCUCCUCAUAGCUCUGCUUUCGUUAUCUUCUAAAAUGUAUUUAAUACUGAAAUAAAAUACAGCCGUAGCUUAGAUGUAUGAUUCACUCUAACAAACAUUGUGUGAAUUUUUAUCCCCCUGAGCUUCUUGGAAGUGUUAUUACAUAAGAUAGUGGCAUGGAU
This 1805-nucleotide long non-coding RNA is filed under the name Homo sapiens (human). RNAcentral describes it as "HSALNT0251512". The record is from RNAcentral. Lineage: Eukaryota; Metazoa; Chordata; Mammalia; Primates; Hominidae.